GACGACGACGUGAGGCGGUAGGAUUAGCAUGCAAGUCGAACGGUAUCAUCCUUCGGGGGUGAGAGAGUGGCGAACUGGUGAGUAACACGUAGGUUAUCUACCCUCAAGACGGGACAACCCAGGGAAACUUGGGCUAAUACCGGAUGUGAGCAACUUUUAGUUGUUUGAAAGGUGGCGUAAGCUGUCGCUUGGGGAUGAGCCUGCGUCCUAUUAGUUAGUUGGUGAGGUAACGGCUCACCUAGGCAAUGAUAGGUAGGCGGCCUUAACGGGUGGUCGCCCACACUGGGAUUGAGAUACGGCCCAGACUCCUACGGGAGGCAGCAGUCGAGAAUAGUCUACAAUGGUCGGAAGACUGAUAGUGCGACGCCGCGUGAACGAUGAAUCCCUUCGGGGUGUAAAGUUCUUUUAUAUGUGAGCAGUGCUUCUUAUAUUAACAGUAUGGGGAGAGAGAUAUUAGCAUAUGAAUAAGCAACGGCUAACUCCGUG
RNAcentral lists this ribosomal RNA (486 nucleotides) under uncultured bacterium. RNAcentral describes it as "bacterial SSU rRNA". It matches the Rfam family "Bacterial small subunit ribosomal RNA", at positions 38 to 507 of the family's 1533-position model. The record is from RNAcentral.